This 72-nucleotide transfer RNA is filed under the name Lachnospiraceae bacterium XBB2008. It matches the Rfam family "tRNA". Rfam says of the family: Transfer RNA (tRNA) molecules are approximately 80 nucleotides in length. Lineage: Bacteria; Bacillati; Bacillota; Clostridia; Lachnospirales; Lachnospiraceae. The record is from Rfam by way of RNAcentral.
AUCCCCGUAGUCUAACAGAUAGAAUACUUGGCUACGAACCAGGUGAUGAGGGUGCAACUCCUUCCGGGGAUG